This is a long non-coding RNA of Phlebotomus papatasi, 347 nucleotides long. RefSeq lists it as uncharacterized. The transcript has 4 exons. NCBI's taxonomy places the organism in Eukaryota, Metazoa, Arthropoda, Insecta, Diptera, Psychodidae. The record is from RefSeq and is a predicted model, not a curated record.
AAAGCGUGGCGUGACGUGCAGUUGUGUAAUUUCUUUGGGAAAGGAAUUUGCGUUUGGCUGAACUCCUUGGGAGACGAUCAAGCUAGGUCCUGAGUCAGGAUAAAGAGUUUUAUAACUUGGUUGUAAACUCGUGAAAUAGCUUGAGGUUGAUGGAAGCGAACGGAGGCCGUUUGUGUUAAAGAACUAUCAACACACCACAUACAUGCACACACAUUCGUAAUAUUCAGCCAUUCAGUCACCGCCAAAUUAAUCAAGUCCUUGCAGUCCGCCACGCGUGAUUGAGUUAAUAAAAAUAAAUACAGUCCACUAUCUCUUGAUGUGUUUGACCCAGGGGACUUGGUCCCCAA